Molecule: non-coding RNA, 281 nt
Organism: Macaca mulatta (Rhesus monkey)
Lineage: Eukaryota; Metazoa; Chordata; Mammalia; Primates; Cercopithecidae
Source: RefSeq, a predicted model, not a curated record
CGGAAAGAAGUCACUUGGGGAGAUGUCCUCUCAUCCCUCAAACUUCUGCAAGUGGCAGCUAAAGCUCUCUUGACAGGAUCUGUCUGGCUGGCCAAGAAGAGCUCUGCGGAAUCAGGAACUUCAUCCUGGGAUAAAGGAGCAGGUCCACCUGAAUGCAUGAUUUGGACCCCAAUGCCCAUAGGAACGCUGGAAAGAGUAACAGGGGACCCCACAUGCAAGCAUUUCCCCCUAGAAGACCUCCUUGCAUUGAAUAAAUAAUUUGAUUUGAAAAACUCUCAAAA